GGUUAAGAGGUGUUUGUGGAAAAUAUAUACUUAAUCUGCAUGAUACGAGAUAAUCAGGCUUCCUGGCAUGGCUGAGGAUGGUAAAACUCUCAAACUCAAGCAACAAACAGAUUUAUUUAUAUGCCAGUGAGAUAACCGGUACAAGGUGCCACUGAUAGCAGGAAUACAUGGACUCAAAAGAAGCCUCAGGAAAAUAACCAACAUCACUCUCAAGCUUUCAAAUUGAAGAGUGAGCUCAAGACUCAGGAUCAAAUCUUGCACUCAUAACUGGAACAGCUAAAAUGGAAGAGAAAAAAAAAUGUUAAAUUGUCCAACCAUCAUUCUCACCUUUGGUCCAAAGGAGCCUUGAUGUCCAGGAAGUCCUGUCACACCAGUUCUACCCAGGUACCCAGGUUUGCCUGGCAGUCCAUCCAUGCCAGGAGGGCCCUCAAGUCCUUCCCUGCCCACAACUCCCCAUGGGCCAGGAGGACCCUGUGGACCCUUAGAAAAGAUAAUACUUAAUAAUUAUGUCAGAGAUUACACUAGUCUUGAAUAAUACAGAAUUGCGUGAUUGCUGUGAUUUAUGUAAAAAGCAUCCAACUCACUGGUGGUCCUUUGGUCCCAGAUUUGCCUCUUGCCCCUGAUUUUCCUUUCUGACCCUGGAAUAUGAAGAGUUCAUGUUCCUCAGUUCUAAAAUGGUUGCAUGGCAGAAAAUACAGCCCAAUAAUACUUCAUGAAGAAAUUUAGAUUUACUUAAAAAAAAAAAAAAAAAAAAAUAUGACACUAUUAUUUGUG
Long non-coding RNA from Scatophagus argus, 774 nucleotides. RefSeq lists it as uncharacterized. The record is from RefSeq and is a predicted model, not a curated record. The transcript is spliced from 5 exons. Lineage: Eukaryota; Metazoa; Chordata; Actinopteri; Scatophagidae.